UCCGGUUUGGCACCGGCAGUCUCCCUAGAGUUCCCGGCAUGACCCGCUGGCAACUAGGGACAGGGGUUGCGCUCGUUGCGCCACUUAAGGCAACACCUCACGGCACGAGCUGACGACAGCCAUGCACCACCUGUGCAGGCUCCGAAGAGCGCCCGCUUUCACGGGUUUCACCCUGCAUGUCAAGCCCAGGUAAGGUGGGGAUGACGUAGCUAAGCCUUC
RNAcentral lists this unclassified non-coding RNA (219 nucleotides) under uncultured Actinomycetes bacterium. RNAcentral describes it as "uncultured actinobacterium contains 16S-23S intergenic spacer region". Lineage: Bacteria; Bacillati; Actinomycetota; Actinomycetes. The record is from RNAcentral.